RNAcentral lists this ribosomal RNA (253 nucleotides) under uncultured bacterium. RNAcentral's name for it is "partial 16S ribosomal RNA". It matches the Rfam family "Bacterial small subunit ribosomal RNA", at positions 524 to 776 of the family's 1533-position model. The record is from RNAcentral.
UACAGAGGUCCCGAGCGUUGUUCGGAUUCACUGGGCGUAAAGGGCGCGUAGGCGGCAAUUCAAGUCACUUGUGAAAUCUCCGAGCUUAACUCGGAACGGUCAAGUGAUACUGCUUUGCUAGAGUGCAGAAGGGGCAACCGGAAUUCUUGGUGUAGCGGUGAAAUGCGUAGAUAUCAAGAGGAACACCGGAGGUGAAGACGGGUUGCUGGGCUGACACUGACGCUGAGGCGCGAAAGCUAGGGUAGCAAACGGG